RNAcentral lists this ribosomal RNA (399 nucleotides) under uncultured bacterium. RNAcentral's name for it is "bacterial SSU rRNA". It matches the Rfam family "Bacterial small subunit ribosomal RNA", at positions 64 to 507 of the family's 1533-position model. The record is from RNAcentral.
GAGCGGCCGUAGCAAUACGGCAGCGGCAGACGGGAGAGUAACACGUGGGAACGCGCCCUUCGGUUCGGAAUAACUCAGGGAAACUUGGGCUAAUACCGGAUACGCCCUUACGGGGAAAGAUUUAUCGCCGAAGGAACGGCCCGCGUCCGAUUAGCUUGUUGGUGAGGUAACGGCUCACCAAGGCGACGAUCGGUAGCUGGUCUGAGAGGAUGACCAGCCUCACUGGGACUGAGACACGGCCCAGACUCCUACGGGAGGCAGCAGUGGGGAAUAUUGGACAAUGGGCGCAAGCCUGAUCCAGCCAUGCCGCGUGAGUGACGAAGGCCUUAGGGUUGUAAAGCUCUUUUGGCGGGGAAGAUAAUGACGGUACCCGCAGAAUAAGCUCCGGCUAACUUCGUG